Non-coding RNA from Camellia sinensis, 555 nucleotides. Lineage: Eukaryota; Viridiplantae; Streptophyta; Magnoliopsida; Ericales; Theaceae. The record is from RefSeq and is a predicted model, not a curated record.
AUGGAAGUGGAUUGGAGGGACCCAUUCCAUCAAACAUAUCCCUUAUGAAUCAAUUAACUGAAUUCGUACUGUUGAUGGAAUUGCUCAUGGUGUGAUCUCUUUGACCGGGAGAAUUAGUGACAUAAAUUUUAAGGCUGCGGAAUUUCCUACCUUGAGCAACACUACAGGGCUAGUAAGAUUGGUUUUGAGAAACUGCAACAUUUCUGGUGAAAUCCCGAAAUAUAUUUGGAAAAUGAUAAAUCUGCAAAUGUUGUGGAUUCUGUAGUUUACCUUGUUGACGCGUACGACAAAGAGAGAUUUGCAGAGGCCAAAAAGGAGCUGGAUGCCCUACAUAAAAAACAACAACAAUACUGAACAAUACUCAACCUUGUUAACACCAGAUGUUCUUUUUUUUUUGAAAUUGAUGCUAAUUAUGUUAAAUUUUUGUUGGAAUGAAUUGUUUUUUAUUUUUUGGGGUUUAGAAUAGGGUUUUGUGAAUUGUUCCUUGUUUUUGGAAUCAAUGUUGUUGCUGCUGAGUUAUGUGUUGAAACUUGGAUAUAGAAAAUUUUAUAAUAA